This 253-nucleotide ribosomal RNA is filed under the name uncultured bacterium. RNAcentral's name for it is "partial 16S ribosomal RNA". It matches the Rfam family "Bacterial small subunit ribosomal RNA", at positions 524 to 776 of the family's 1533-position model. The record is from RNAcentral.
UACGAACUGUGCGAACGUUACUCGGAAUUACUGGGCGUAAAGCGCACGUAGGCGGAUUAAUAAGUUAGGGGUGAAAUCCCGGGGCUCAACCUCGGAACUGCCUUUGAUACUGUUAGUCUCGAGUCCGAUAGAGGUGAGUGGAAUUCCUAGUGUAGAGGUGAAAUUCGUAGAUAUUAGGAAGAACACCAGUGGCGAAGGCGGCUCACUGGCUCGAUACUGACGCUGAGGUGCGAAAGCGUGGGGAGCAAACAGG